RNAcentral lists this non-coding RNA (27 nucleotides) under Mus musculus (house mouse). The record is from RNAcentral. Lineage: Eukaryota; Metazoa; Chordata; Mammalia; Rodentia; Muridae.
UUGCAGACUGGGUUAUUGUUUGUGUGC